ACAACAACAGCCGCACCGACAACAGCCGCGGCGUCAACAACAGCCGCCCCGACAACAACGGCCGCACCGACAACAAUCGCACCAUCAACAACGGCCGCACUGACGACAACAGCCUCCCCAACAACAACGGCUGCACCAACAACAACAGCUGUGCCGACAACAACAGCUGCACCCACAACAUCUCCAGUUCCGACAACAACAGUCGCACCCACAACAGCCGCCCCAAUAACAAUUGCACCCACAACAACAGCCGCCCAAACAACAACCGCACCGACAACAACGGAAGCAGUCGUAGCAAGGCUAUUGACAUUCAGAUCUCAAGAAGAGACAUUUACAAGUGAUUUGCACGUUCCAUCAUCCGCAGCGUUUCAAAGUCGAGCCGUAUUGAUAGAGUCAACACUCAGACCUUUACUCAAAGAAGCUUUUCCUUCGUUCCGCAACAUCCGUGUGAUUUCAUUCAGUAAUGGAUCAAUCAUCCAAAACUCACUCAUUUAUUUUCCAUUAACAUCUGCUCCUAAUGGCACUGAGAUUCGAAAAGUUUUGGUUGCAGCAGCUUGUAUCAUCAGAACCUUCAACAUUGACAACAACUCCAUUUAUUUUGAUGGCACACAGGUUUCAAGUGGAGUAAGCCACAACAUCAGUCUCAUCACUGCAUCCUUCCUUGUGCUGAUGUCAUGGAUCCUGUCAAGCCAGCAAUAGCAUCAUUGCUGAUUACUGUUUGAAUUUGCAUUAUUGCAUGACUGCCAUCACUAGCAUGAAAAAUGACUUCUUGAUUCUUGUCAAAGAAGUCUUGUACAGCGUCAGAUAUACUUACUAUCACAUUUCAUUUUGCAAUUACUGCACAUAUUUAAGACAGUGGAUUAGGUUUAUGUCAAUCUUAACACGUUUCUAGGUUUCACUUUAUUCCAUAUCAUUACAUUACAUUGCAUAGAAAUAUCAGAGAGCAUAUUGUAAAGGGAACAUGUGUCUAAAGUUAAUUAAAGGAACAACACUGCAGGUCAUCAUGAGUCGUGGAACCAACCGUGAA
Molecule: long non-coding RNA, 1027 nt
Organism: Cyclopterus lumpus (lumpfish)
Lineage: Eukaryota; Metazoa; Chordata; Actinopteri; Perciformes; Cyclopteridae
Exons: 4
Source: RefSeq, a predicted model, not a curated record